AUUGAACGCUGGCGGCAGGCCUAACACAUGCAAGUCGAGCGGACGAAGGGAGCUUGCUCCUGGAUUCAGCGGCGGACGGGUGAGUAAUGCCUAGGAAUCUGCCUGGUAGUGGGGGAUAACGUCCGGAAACGGGCGCUAAUACCGCAUACGACCUGAGGGAGAAAGUGGGGGAUCUUCGGACCUCACGCUAUCAGCUGAGCCUAGGUCGGAUUAGCUAGUUGGUGGGGUAAAGGCCUACCAAGGCGACGAUCCGUAACUGGUCUGAGAGGAUGAUCAGUCACACUGGAACUGAGACACGGUCCAGACUCCUACGGGAGGCAGCAGUGGGGAAUAUUGGGCAAUGGGCGAAAGCCUGAUCCAGCCAUGCCGCGUGUGUGAAGAAGGUCUUCGGAUUGUAAAGCACUUUAAGUUGGGAGGAAGGGCAGUAAGUUAAUACCUUGCUGUUUUGACGGUACCAACAGAAUAAGCACCGGCUAACUUCGUG
This 484-nucleotide ribosomal RNA is filed under the name uncultured bacterium. Its description in RNAcentral is "partial 16S ribosomal RNA". It matches the Rfam family "Bacterial small subunit ribosomal RNA", at positions 30 to 507 of the family's 1533-position model. The record is from RNAcentral.